This 589-nucleotide ribosomal RNA is filed under the name uncultured bacterium. RNAcentral's name for it is "bacterial SSU rRNA". It matches the Rfam family "Bacterial small subunit ribosomal RNA", at positions 338 to 916 of the family's 1533-position model. The record is from RNAcentral.
CCUACGGGAGGCAGCAGUGGGGAAUCUUGCGCAAUGGGCGGAAGCCUGACGCAGCAACGCCGCGUGUGGGAAGACGGCUUUCGGGUUGUAAACCACUUUCAGGGGGGACGAAGCUUCCGAGGUUAAUAGCCUACGGGGUGACGGUACCCCCAGAAGAAGCCCCGGCUAACUACGUGCCAGCAGCCGCGGUAAUACGUAGGGGGCGAGCGUUGUCCGGAAUCAUUGGGCGUAAAGCGCGUGUAGGCGGCUUGAUAAGUCUGGUGUGAAAUCUUGGGGCUCAACCCCGAAGCCUGCACUGGAUACUGUCAAGCUUGAGUCCGGGAGGGGAGAGCGGAAUUCCUAGUGUAGCGGUGAAAUGCGCAGAUAUUAGGAAGAACACCGGUGGCGAAGGCGGCUCUCUGGAACGGUACUGACGCUGAGACGCGAAAGCGUGGGGAGCGAACAGGAUUAGAUACCCUGGUAGUCCACGCCGUAAACGAUGGGCACUAGAUGUGGGCGGUGUCGACUCCGUCCGUGUCGAAGCUAACGCAUUAAGUGCCCCGCCUGGGGAGUCGGCCGCAAGGCUAAAACCGUUAAAGGAAAUUGACGG